Molecule: long non-coding RNA, 1931 nt
Organism: Gadus macrocephalus (Pacific cod)
Lineage: Eukaryota; Metazoa; Chordata; Actinopteri; Gadiformes; Gadidae
Exons: 2
Source: RefSeq, a predicted model, not a curated record
UAGCCAAUGGGAUAGAUCCAUGAUUUGAUUCGUCCCCGCACGUGCGGCUCGGUGACGGUGACUUGUCGCUCGAUUGCAUUGGUCAUCAACCGUCUUUUUUACAUGACCACGGAAUCAAAAACAUCAACAACAGCAAAUGAGUGGCGUGUUACGAUCGAAAACACAGGGUAACUAGGCUUGGAGGUGUGGAGAGCGAAAGAGAGGAGAAGAGAAAGGAAUUGGGAGUAGGAGAAGGGAGGUAAGGAUGAUAGUAGAAUCUCAUGUAAGCAAGGCCUGUCUCAAAAUUGGCUCAUUGUCGCACACACGCACUUGUGUAUGUCACCAUGGGUAAAUCUUUCAAAUGCACUGUAGGCCUACGAAGUGCACACCCAUUCACAGCACUCCAUUUUAGGAACUAUCAAUGUUGUACAUUGUAACAACAAGCCUGCGUGAAGUUUUAACUUGUCUCUCAUGAUGUUAGUGCUGCUUGUGUUAUUUCACAGUCGUCAUGAGCAAGAGGAAGCAAGAGGGUUGCAGAGACAUUCGGCAAUGUUUUGCCUCGUCUCAGAAAAGAAGCAAAGUAAAGAGGGGUGAGAAAAUGAGAAGUGUUAACCUAUCAGUUGUAGCAUUACAGUACAGUAGAGUUAAUAGACUACAAAAAACUAGUCAUAGAAUUAUUGUCAUUCAGAUCAAAAGUGGUUUGUUGACUAUCUGAGAAAGGAACAGUACUUGUUAUCUGAUAAUAAUUCUUCCCUGUGGCAUGUUCACUUUGGUGUGUUCAGAAUAAAGAGAGUGAAGCACAGAGAGAGCAAGAACGUUUGGAGGAUGAAAGCAGUGUGUGUCAAUCUGGUAGUGACAUAGAGGUGAGUAGCCUAAGAGAGGAGUUCUGGAAACUAGUAGAUCCUUGGCUUUUCCUAUGUUCAAUGCACGUUCAAUGCAAUUUGUAAGUUACUUUGGAUAAAAGCGUCUGCAAAAUGAUUGUCAAAGAGUAAAUAUCAAUGGUUUAAACCGAAUUGUGACAUUAGAGCAGAAUGCUGUUGGCAUUGGCACUGAUGUCUAUGGUGUGUUUCAGUAGUCUACUGGUAAAUACUAGUUUGCUGAUAUCUGUGAUAUUAUUCCUUCCAUGUUUCCUCUGUUGUGUUCAGAGUAGAGCUAGUGAGCCAGCGGGAGAGACAGAAAGUUUGGAGGAUGAAAGCACAGGGUUUGUCAAUCUCGUGGUGGCAUAGAGGUGAGUCGCCUAAGAGAGGAGUAAAUAUGAAAGGUUAAGACCGAAUCAUGACACUCAAGCAGAAUCCUUUUAACACACAUGUAUAUAGUGAAGGGUUGUCAAAAAAAUGGUUACACUAAUCGAUUAAAAUUAAAAAUAAUAAUAUCAGAUUAGAUACUUAUGUGCAACAGUAUCGAUAAUAAAUCGCUGUCUUCAUCAUCUUCAUCUCUUUUUUUUUCUCGCCUCCUUCAGUUGACACACAACUUUACACGGCAGCCUUGUGUUGCUAAUAUAGCAACAUAAUAAUUAUUAAGUCAAGUCUCAUUCAAAGUUACAAAACAUUGUACAAUGUAUGUCUUCAUAGAUUAAUCCAUAACUAAUCAGAAAACAUUUAGGUUACGUCCUUGACCUGUCUAAUUCUUUAACAGUGCAUCAUUCAAUACGGCUAAUGGUUUCACCAUGAGAUUAGCUCAGUGCGCUCUCUCGUGAAACUCAUCUAUGUACUUAUUAAACAAGUGGUUGAAAAUAUCAGAAAAUCUACGUUUUCUGAGGGGUAACAAAAGUUUUGGGGUGACUUCCAUUUAGGUCCAUGAGAUAGAUGCAUCUGGUUGGGUUUUACUCAACAUUGGCAAAUGUGAUGGUUAUGCAAUAAAAAAUGUAAUGGAAGUAAGAACUGGCUGGAUUUUGUGUCCUUGUUGUGGUGGUGCAGGUGUUUGUUUGUGCGUGUUUUGUAAAAAAGACAAAA